UGAGCAACCUGCCCUUGACCCUGGAAUAACAGUUGGAAACAGCUGCUAAUACCGGAUACGACCUCCGAUGGCAUCAUCUGGAGGUGGAAAGCUCCGACGGUCAAGGAUGGGCUCGCGGCCUAUCAGCUUGUUGGUGAGGUAACGGCUCACCAAGGCUUCGACGGGUAGCCGGCCUGAGAGGGCGACCGGCCACACUGGGACU
Molecule: ribosomal RNA, 202 nt
Filed under: uncultured bacterium
Lineage: Bacteria
Description: partial 16S ribosomal RNA
Rfam family: Bacterial small subunit ribosomal RNA
Source: RNAcentral